This 3226-nucleotide long non-coding RNA is filed under the name Sus scrofa (pig). Its description in RNAcentral is "lncRNA (ENSSSCG00050005657.1, ENSSSCG00060052988.1)". The record is from RNAcentral. Lineage: Eukaryota; Metazoa; Chordata; Mammalia; Artiodactyla; Suidae.
UGGAGCUGCAGCUGAAGCCUAUACCACAGCCACAGCCAAACCAGAUCCGAGCCACAUCUGUGACAUAUGGUGCAGCUUGCAGCAAUGCCACCCACUAAGCAAGACCAGAAACAGAAUGUGCAUCCUCACAGACACUAUGUCAGGUUCUUCUGCCACUGAGCCACAACAGGAACUCCACACAUUAACCAUUUCAAAAGGUGCCUAGCACAGAAUAAGCUCUCAAUAAAUGGCAGCUAUUGGUAUCAGUGAUGGCUUCCUACAAUUCAGAUGGUUUCCUUCUGACAUGUUUCCCUUUUAAUUGAAAAUAAAUAAAUAAAAUAUUAGAUGUGAAGGAAGAAUGGUUAAUUUUGUGAAAUGAAUUUUAAAAUAUUAUCUAUAUCAAUAUAUCACAAAGUGUGAUAGCAGUAUUUCUUGAGAAAUCAACUUUAUAAGGAAAUCUAUUGUAUUAGCUAAAUCUGCUAAUGAAAGUAGGAAAACCAAAUGAGAUUAAACUUUUAUUAUUAAAGUGUUUUACAGAAAACAGGCUUUAGCAAAACUUUCAAAAGUGUCAUGUCCUUAGGAUUAGCAUUUAUGGAAAUAUAUAGACAUUUGCAAUUUGGAAAAACAUCUGCAAUAUACAUAUCAUUAAAAAUAAAAAUGUACUCAUUCAACUGCUUUCUGAUGAAAUGCUAACAUGAACUAUUAUAAUCAAUUUCUGAAAGCUUCAGUGUUUAAUAUUCCAUUCAUGGUACUGCUCCUAUUUUCCUCUUUCUCCUUCAUUACUAAUUAAUUUUGGUUUUCUUUCUUAUAUGAGUAUGCAGUGUUCCAAUGGUGAGAUAUUUAUUACCUAUAGGAAAGACAUUUUUUUCAAAAUUCUCCAUUUAUUAUCUGUUUUAUAUGUAUUUACCUCAAUGGAAUAGUUGAGUAAAAAAUUAUAUCAAAUAAUGCAGCCAAAAUAACCAUGGAUAAUGUUUGUUUCCAAAUGAAUGAAAAAGCAAUUGAAAAAGUAACAAUUACUAAAGCAAUUCAUAUUGAAAGUUUUACAGUAUUAUAAUUCUGGAUUAAAUGAAUAUAUACUCUAAAUGCUAUUUGAAAGAAUGUACCCAACAGAGAGAAAAUUACACAGAUUUUUAGAUGCAAAUGUGCAGUUAGGAUGCACCUUUUUCUCAACUGACCUUGAUGUUCAAAUCCUUCUGGGGGUAGAAGGUACUCUAAAGUAUCUACAUGUCUUAUAAUGCAAAUAUGUCAAACUUGACGUUGAAAAGAAGAGCCAAGAACUACUGAGCCAGAUAUUUUCUGAAAAUCGAGGGAGCUAUCAUAUGUAGGCUGCUUGCUAUAAAGGAUUUGCUCCACCAGCCUCCACUGGGGUCCUGUAAUUGCAGCAGAGGGGGCUGGAAACUAGCACAACACACCUCUGCAGAGUCCAGUCACUAUGUGAAAAGCUCAUUUACUUUGAAGACUAAAAGGACUUCUGAGUCAUCAGCAUAAAAGUUAAGGGAGUCUCCACAGAAGAAAAAGUAAAAUCCAAAUAUCAACUGAUGAAUGAUAAAAGACAUCUGGAUGGUAUGCUUUCAGUAUUCAGUAUUGAAAUCUUUGUCGAUAAUGUUUCAACUAGCAGUCUAAAUAAAAAAAUGGUCAGAAAUGACGUAGGGAUUAAAUUCAACCACAGCUCACUGUUGUAUCUCUUCUUGUCUUUUCCAUCCAGUUAUCAGAUCACCCAGUUAUACUAUAGUGCUACCCCAUAAUAUCCUUUCGCUUUUGAGUGAUUAUAUAUAAUUAUGGUUGAUCAGGGAAAAGAUUCAACAUUUAAGUCAACAUAUUUAAUAACAAAGGGUAUCUCAUCUUGGAGUUCCCAUUGUGGCUUAGUGGAAACUAAUGUGACAACAGAUCCCUGACCUUGCUCAGUGGGUUAAGGAUCCAGCAUUGCAGUGAGCUGUGGUAUAGAUCGAAGAUGUGGCUCAGAUCUGGUGUUGCUGUGGCUGUGGUGAAGGCCAGAGGCUACAGCUCCAAUUUGGCCCCUAGCCUGGGAACCUCCAUAUGCUGCAGGUGCAGCCCUAAAAAGACAAAAGACAAACAAAACAAAACAAAAACACAAAAAAAGGCAAUCAUGUAUCAAGAAUAUACUCGGUGCCAGGCAUUUUGUGGCACUAUGUUGGGCACUAAAAGAGGAACAAUAUUUACAACCUUACCUCUACAAGCCUACCAUCUAGUGGAGAAUACAGACUUAGAGUCCAAUUAAGAGGUAAUUUCACAGCUAUACUGAUUGCCAUGAUACUGAUCUAUACAGAGUGUGAUGGGCAACUCUGAGAGGCCAACAGGGGUAGUCAUGAAGGUAGGAAGGAGGAGGGAUUUGAAUUGUUUUCAUUCAAAUGUAGCCAUGGCAAUGCUCUGCCUACACAAUUCUCUUGACUAAUUCCACCUAACAACAACAACAAAUUAGCAUGUGUGAUUAUUUUAAUUAGUUUUUUGGAUGGGCUGGAAAGAACAAAAGUCUACUUUAGUUCUCUCUUUAGCAAAAAUAAAAAUCCUGUGUGUGAACUGGGGUGGGGGAAGGCAGUUAAUUCUAAGGACAUAGGUCCUGAGAAGAUCCAGCAGCCCCAUCCCUCUGGGUCUCUCUGGGCUGUUUGGUCUCUCCUUCACACAGGUCCCCAUUCACCCUGUAUAACUCUCUGUUCUUUUCUUUGUGACUUCUGCUCCCUCAACAUUCAGCCAUGGCUUUCCUGAUUCAGCUCCUCCCACUAACAGUUUUAGUCUCUGCUACACAGAUGAACACAUCUCAAAUUCCGAUGCCAGGUCAGGCGUAGAGGGAUGGGUUAGCUGUUGGUAAGGCAGGAGCCCAUCCAGAUCUAAUCUAACCAAUAUGGAUGAGUCCACUGAGGCGGCUGAGUCCGUCAGUAGGCAGGUUUUUUGGAAGGUGUGUAGGGAGCAAGCAUGUCCUGAACACUGAGAUUUAUCUCCUGAAAGGUUUAAGGAACUUUCUGGCUCUUUCCUGUUUCAGCCUUAGUUGUUAUUAUUUGACUUUUAGAAUCUUGGCUCCUUCCAAUUCUCUCAAAUUUGAUCUAUGACUGUAGAACCUGAUUGUUUUAACUCAAUUCCCAAGUAUCUUUGCCCUCCUGCCUUCUAUGACACAGAUUUAACUUGCUCGUAUAAGAAAGAAAACUUUGACCAUGAUUUUAUUAGUCCUCUGCACUUACUAAGCCUCUUGAGGUUAAACUCUCUGUGGUCAUUUUGGCUAUGAGUCUGUGAU